Molecule: ribosomal RNA, 497 nt
Filed under: uncultured bacterium
Lineage: Bacteria
Description: partial 16S ribosomal RNA
Rfam family: Bacterial small subunit ribosomal RNA
Source: RNAcentral
GAUGAACGCUGGCGGCGUGCCUAAUACAUGCAAGUCGAGCGAACAGACGAGGAGCUUGCUCCUCUGACGUUAGCGGCGGACGGGUGAGUAACACGUGGAUAACCUCCCUAUAAGACUGGGAUCACUUCGGGAAACCGGCGCUAAUACCGGAUAAUAUAUUGAACCGCAUGGUUCAAUAGUGAAAGACGGUUUUGCUGUCACUUAUAGAUGGAUCCGCGCCGCAUUAGCUAGUUGGUAAGGUAACGGCUUACCAAGGCAACGAUGCGUAGCCGAACUGAGAGGGUGAUCGGCCACACUGGAACUGAGACACGGUCCAGACGCCUACGGGAGGCAGCAGUAGGGAAUCUUCCGCAAUGGGCGAAAGCCUGACGGAGCAACGCCGCGUGAGUGAUGAAGGUCUUCGGAUCGUAAAACUCUGUUAUUAGGGAAGAACAAAUGUGUAAGUAACUAUGCACGUCUUGACGGUACCUAAUCAGAAAGCCACGGCUAACUACGUG